CCAAAACUUCAACCUGCCUUUGUCCACAAAAGCACAUAACCAAUUCUUAGACUUGCAGCAUUUGAUCUCACAACUAAAUCUGGAAACAAAUAAGGACAGCUGGUCAUAUAUUUGGGGAUCACUGAUCUUCUCAACCAAAUGAGCUUACAAAACAAUCAUUGGACAGAGAACCAUACACCCAACAUUUUGCUGGCUCUGGAUAUCACGAUGUCAGAAAAAGCACAAAAUUUUCUUUUGGCUACUUCUCAAGGACCGAUUAAGCACAAGGGACCUCUUACAAAGAAGACACAUGCAACUAGAAUCAUAUACUUGCGAACUAUGCAUUCGGCAGAAAAGAGAAACGGUCAAGCACCUUUUUUUUUGUUGCAACUUCGCCAAAACUUGUUGGAAUAGCAUUGGGGUAGCGUACAUUUCGACAAGGUCAACAUUGAAUAUCAUCACACAGAUCAAAAUGAAAUUAGGGGUACCCUUUUUCAUGGAAAUCAUUAUAUUAAUGACCUGGAGCAUUUGGACAACAAGAAACGGAUGGAUGUUCAGCAACAUUGAUCCACUACCACAGACAUGUAGAAGGAAAUUUAACUCAGAGUUUAA
This 591-nucleotide long non-coding RNA is filed under the name Setaria italica (foxtail millet). RNAcentral's name for it is "long non-coding RNA (SITA_LNC004852)". Lineage: Eukaryota; Viridiplantae; Streptophyta; Magnoliopsida; Poales; Poaceae. The record is from RNAcentral.